UACGUAGGGGGCAAGCGUUGUCCGGAUUUAUUGGGCGUAAAGAGCGUGUAGGCGGCUAGGUAGGUCCGUUGUGAAAACUCGAGGCUCAACCUCGAGACGCCGAUGGAAACCAUCUAGCUAGAGUCCGGAAGAGGAGAGUGGAAUUCCUGGUGUAGCGGUGAAAUGCGCAGAUAUCAGGAAGAACACCCGUGGCUAAGGCGGCUCUCUAGUACGGUACUGACGCUGAGACGCGAAAGCGUGGGGAGCGAACAGG
This 253-nucleotide ribosomal RNA is filed under the name uncultured bacterium. RNAcentral's name for it is "partial 16S ribosomal RNA". It matches the Rfam family "Bacterial small subunit ribosomal RNA", at positions 524 to 776 of the family's 1533-position model. The record is from RNAcentral.